This 226-nucleotide ribosomal RNA is filed under the name uncultured bacterium. RNAcentral describes it as "partial 16S ribosomal RNA". It matches the Rfam family "Bacterial small subunit ribosomal RNA", at positions 538 to 762 of the family's 1533-position model. The record is from RNAcentral.
GCGUUGUCCGGAAUUAUUGGGCGUAAAGAGCUCGUAGGCGGUCUGUACGACAUGUGUGAAAGCCCCCGGCUCAACUGGGGAGAGUCAUGUGUAACGGCAGAGCUAACGAGUGCAGGAGAGGGAAGUGGAACUCCGGGAGUAGCGGUGAAAUGCGUAGAUACCCGGAGGAAUACCAGUGGCGAAGGCGGCUUCCUGAUCUGCGACUGACGCUGUGGCACGAAAGCUA